UAGGGAAUCUUCCGCAAUGGACGCAAGUCUGACGGAGCAACGCCGCGUGAGUGAAGAAGGAUUUCGGUUCGUAAAACUCUGUUGUUAGAGAAGAACAGCGCAUAGAGUAACUGUUAUGCGUGUGACGGUAUCUAACCAGAAAGCCACGGCUAACUACGUGCCAGCAGCCGCGGUAAUACGUAGGUGGCAAGCGUUGUCCGGAUUUAUUGGGCGUAAAGCGAGCGCAGGCGGUCAAUUAAGUCUGAUGUGAAAGCCCCCGGCUCAACCGGGGAGGGUCAUUGGAAACUGGUUGACUUGAGUGCAGAAGAGGAGAGUGGAAUUCCAUGUGUAGCGGUGAAAUGCGUAGAUAUAUGGAGGAACACCAGUGGCGAAGGCGACUCUCUGGUCGGUAACUGACGCUGAGGCUCGAAAGCGUGGGUAGCAAACAGG
Molecule: ribosomal RNA, 429 nt
Filed under: Bacteroidota bacterium
Lineage: Bacteria; Pseudomonadati; Bacteroidota
Description: Bacteroidetes bacterium partial 16S ribosomal RNA
Rfam family: Bacterial small subunit ribosomal RNA
Source: RNAcentral